Molecule: long non-coding RNA, 1097 nt
Filed under: Lepidothrix coronata (blue-crowned manakin)
Lineage: Eukaryota; Metazoa; Chordata; Aves; Passeriformes; Pipridae
Description: lncRNA (ENSLCOG00000001482.1)
Source: RNAcentral
AUGGGUGUAGAUGGCUUAAUGGGCUCUGCUUGUGAGCAGGAUGGCACUGAAAAAGUCUUCACCCAACUGGCAUAUCAUGGGAAUGGGAGGAGUGCGGAUGGAGAUCUGGAUUCUAGAAGGCUUGUGCAAGUGAUUGGUUGCCUUUCGUUCUGUCCUCACAUCUUAGUGCCUCCUCUUCUUCCUCCUUGUGCACCCAGAAACACCCUCCAGAGCUGGCCCCAGCACUCCAUAGAUGUCACCAUGGGGAUGGAUAAGGAUGCAGCCAGCUGGUCUCUGCUUCAGGAUGGCCCAUUCAGGAUAGACAUGGAAACCUCCUCAUUCAACAUGUUCCCGCCAGCAUCACGAACAAAUACUGAGGGAUGAACAUCUCCCACCAAUGCCCUCUGAGCCACAUGGUUGUUGUCAGCCUCAGGCUCAGACUGAAGGCUUUGUUUCUAAGGUCUGCCAUGUGCAAGAGUUUUCCUUGACUGUGAGAAUCUGGAAAUAGGGAUGUGCAGUCCUUACCUGGCAGCAGCGUGCUUAGCAUCAAGGGAGACAAGUGACAAGGGAACACUUAAAAGGAAGGCGGUGGCCUGUCUUUCCAACUCUUAGAAGGAAAAAUGCUUCAGAUGUGGCAGCUAGAGCCAGAAACAAGGGAUGUUGUGCACUGCAUGUGCAUUAGAUCUGCAUUAAUAGAAAGGGAUUUGGUUUCGGUUUUAUUCUCUAUUGUUAGAAAGAAAAACAUCUUCACCAUGGCAGGUAGAAGAAAGGACACGGUGAAUAACUGAGGUGAGAUCAUUAUGUGACUUCAUGAGGAGUCACAAACUGCCACAAUUGAAGGAAACUAUCAUUUACCACUUGUUAUUUAGCAGACGGGCACAGCUGAAACUCGGCUCCACUGCAAACUUUAUUGUUUCCCUGUCAAAUCCUAAGAGGCUGAGAUACCUCCCAGGAGACCACUAAUCACUACUGGCACUGGGUGUUGCUGGCAGCACGAAGUGAACCUUAAAAGCUUUGGUGGUUCAGAUUAGCAUCAAAGAGGCCAAAUGCUUCCUCUGGGUUCCAGGUCACGCUAAACCUUUAAUAAAAAUCUGAGACUCUAUGAAAGGAAAGAGAGA